Molecule: ribosomal RNA, 523 nt
Filed under: uncultured bacterium
Lineage: Bacteria
Description: bacterial SSU rRNA
Rfam family: Bacterial small subunit ribosomal RNA
Source: RNAcentral
UUGGGAAUCUUGGACAAUGCGGGAAACCCUGAUCCAGCCAUGCCGCGUGAGUGAUGAAGGCCUUCGGGUUGUAAAACUCUUUCGACGGGGACGAUAAUGACGGUACCCGUAGAAGAAGCUCCGGCUAACUUCGUGCCAGCAGCCGCGGUAAUACGAAGGGGGCUAGCGUUGUUCGGAAUUACUGGGCGUAAAGCGCGCGCAGGCGGCUAUCCAAGUCAGUGGUGAAAGCCCGGAGCUCAACUCCGGAACUGCCAUUGAAACUGUUUAGCUUGAGGAUGAGAGAGGUGAGUGGAAUUCCCAGUGUAGAGGUGAAAUUCGUAGAUAUUGGGAAGAACACCGGUGGCGAAGGCGGCUCACUGGCUCAUUACUGACGCUCAGGCGCGAUAGCGUGGGGAUCAAACAGGAUUAGAUACCCUGGUAGUCCACGCCGUAAACGAUGAAUGCUAGCCGUUGGGCAGCUUGCUGUUCAGUGGCGCAGCUAACGCAUUAAGCAUUCCGCCUGGGGAGUACGGCCGCAAGGUUG